RNA transcript from Hordeum vulgare subsp. vulgare (domesticated barley), 1140 nucleotides. It is a transcript of the gene named serine/arginine-rich splicing factor SR45-like, with no coding region annotated. The record is from RefSeq and is a predicted model, not a curated record. The transcript has 6 exons. NCBI's taxonomy places the organism in Eukaryota, Viridiplantae, Streptophyta, Magnoliopsida, Poales, Poaceae.
CACACCCCAUUCCAAUCUCCCCAGUCCGCAGCCUCCCCAAACCCCCAUCCCUCCCUCCCUCCCUCAUUCCCAGAUCCGAGCCCUCCCCCAGAACCCUAGCCAGCCCAUGGCGCCGCCAAGCUCGCCGCCCUCGGCCGCCGCGCCAUCGCGGGGCUCCUCCGCCAAGGCACGCCCGAGGCCGACCAGGAGGCCUCGGUCACCAAGCGCCCCCGCAAGGGCACCUCCUCCGGCAAGAAGAAGCCAGCGCCCAAGGCCGCCAAGAGGUAGCAGAAGGCCACCAAGGUGCCGCGGGAGAAGAAGGAGAAGGCGUAGGAGAACCCGGCGGUGGAGGACGAGGUGUGCGGGGAGGAGCCCGACGAGGAGGAGCUGGCGCUCGGGAAGGAGGACGAGAUGGCCGCCUCCGGGGAGCAGCAACAGGAGACGGCGGCGGCGGCCAAGCGGCGCGGGGCGCAGCCGACCAAGAAGGCCCGGAACGUGGCCGCCGGCGACAGGGAGCCCGAGUUCCUCGGCGAGCCCGUCCCCGCCGACGAGGCCAGCGCCAAGUGGCCGCAGCGCUACAAGCGUGGCUCCCCCCAAGUGGAACGCACCUGUCUUGGGACGGUUGAGGCGAACGACACCAUGAUCAAAAGCCGCUGAUGACACACCCACGUUGAACUAGCACCUGCAAGAGCUAGUAGCAGCUUAGUACAUGCAUGAUCACCCUACGGCUCCAUGACCAUAAGCGUGCACUGACACUACGGCCGAGUAGAUCAGUUUCACAGACAGUUGAGUUGCGCACACUGGUUUUCUUAGGGUGAGUUCAAUCAGGUUCCCAUCUGACUCUGAGUAGUGGGUACUCACAGUGCUGCCUGUGUUGCUAAGCAGGUGUUUUCACCGAGUUGAUUCAGGACAUGCAAGUAAAAGGUGUACAGGUUAGCUUCCAGGGAUUCCUUGGUGGGGCUAACGUUCUCCUUGGAAGCAUUCUCAGGUGCAUCCACAGGACCUGGAGAAGUAUGCUGGCGCGACACGGGUGAAUGGCUAGCUGGAGGAAAUGUAUUUGCUAUAUUCUGUCCGUUUUUGCUAUAUUUCCGUGUAAGGAAAUGUAUCCAUGAGAUGAGUUAUUGUGUUAUGUAAACCUGGGAGAUGUAUUAUGUGAUGUUA